GACGAACGCUGGCGGUGUGCUUAACACAUGCAAGUCGAACGGAAAGGCCCUGCUUUUGUGGGGUGCUCGAGUGGCGAACGGGUGAGUAACACGUGAGUAACCUGCCCUUGACUUUGGGAUAACUUCAGGAAGCUGGGGCUAAUACCGGAUAGGAGCUCCUGCUGCAUGGUGGGGGUUGGAAAGUUUCGGCGGUUGGGGAUGGACUCGCGGCUUAUCAGCUUGUUGGUGGGGUAGUGGCUUACCAAGGCUUUGACGGGUAGCCGGCCUGAGAGGGUGACCGGCCACAUUGGGACUGAGAUACGGCCCAGACUCCUACGGGAGGCAGCAGUGGGGAAUAUUGCACAAUGGGCGGAAGCCUGAUGCAGCAACGCCGCGUGCGGGAUGACGGCCUUCGGGUUGUAAACCGCUUUCGCCUGUGACGAAGCGUGAGUGACGGUAAUGGGUAAAGAAGCACCGGCUAACUACGUG
This 468-nucleotide ribosomal RNA is filed under the name uncultured bacterium. Its description in RNAcentral is "partial 16S ribosomal RNA". It matches the Rfam family "Bacterial small subunit ribosomal RNA", at positions 28 to 507 of the family's 1533-position model. The record is from RNAcentral.